Molecule: ribosomal RNA, 253 nt
Filed under: uncultured bacterium
Lineage: Bacteria
Description: partial 16S ribosomal RNA
Rfam family: Bacterial small subunit ribosomal RNA
Source: RNAcentral
UACGUAGGCAGCAAGCGUUGUUCGGAGUUACUGGGCGUAAAGGGUGUGUAGGCGGUUUUUUAAGUUUGGGGUGAAAUCUCCCGGCUCAACUGGGAGGGUGCGCCGAAUACUGAAAGACUAGAGUGCGGGAGAGGAAAGUGGAAUUCCUGGUGUAGCGGUGAAAUGCGUAGAUAUCAGGAGGAACACCGGUGGUGUAGACGGCUUUCUGGACCAAUACUGACACUGAGGAGCGAAAGCCAGGGGAGCAAACGGG